CAUGUCCUUUUGAGAAUAAUUUAAGGUCUAAUCUGCUCAAUGAAUUUUAAAUUGCCGCAGUAUUUUGACUGUGCAAAGGUAGCAUAAUAAUUAGUUUUUUAAUUAAGAACUGGUAUGAAUGAUUGGACAAGAGAAUUACUGUCUCUUUUUUAAUUUUUAUUGAAUUUUAUUUUUAAGUGAAAAAGCUUAAAUUUUUAUAAAAGACGAGAAGACCCUAUAGAGUUUAAUAUUUUUAAUAAUUUGAAUGUAGAAUUGUUUUUUAUUAAAGUUUAUUUAGUUGGGGUGAUUUGAAGAUUAAAUUAAUUCUUUAAUUAAAAAAUUAGUGAUUUCUAAAAUAAUAUUCUAUAAUUUGUAAGUAUAAAAUAAAUUACCUUAGGGAUAACAGCGUAAUUUUUCUUUAAAGUUCUUAUUAAAAGAAAAGUUUGCGACCUCGAUGUUGGAUUAAAAUUAAUUUUUGGUGCAAAAACUUAAAAAUUAGGUCUGUUCGACCUUUAAAAUUUUACAUGAUCUGAGUUUAAACCGGUGUAAACCAGGUUGGAUUCUAUCUUUAAAUAAUUAAUAUAUUUUAGUACGAAAGGACCAAAUAUUUAUUAAAUUAAUUG
Molecule: ribosomal RNA, 602 nt
Filed under: Wakarumbia sp. UPOL MD0126
Lineage: Eukaryota; Metazoa; Arthropoda; Insecta; Coleoptera; Lycidae
Description: partial 16S ribosomal RNA
Rfam family: Bacterial large subunit ribosomal RNA (bases 378-536)
Source: RNAcentral